This 434-nucleotide ribosomal RNA is filed under the name uncultured Lachnospiraceae bacterium. RNAcentral's name for it is "partial 16S ribosomal RNA". It matches the Rfam family "Bacterial small subunit ribosomal RNA", at positions 341 to 792 of the family's 1533-position model. Lineage: Bacteria; Bacillati; Bacillota; Clostridia; Lachnospirales; Lachnospiraceae. The record is from RNAcentral.
ACGGGAGGCAGCAGUGGGGAAUAUUGCACAAUGGAGGAAACUCUGAUGCAGCGACGCCGCGUGAGCGAAGAAGUAUUUCGGUAUGUAAAGCUCUAUCAGCAGGGAAGAAAAUGACGGUACCUGACUAAGAAGCCCCGGCUAACUACGUGCCAGCAGCCGCGGUGAUACGUAGGGGGCAAGCGUUAUCCGGAUUUACUGGGUGUAAAGGGAGCGUAGACGGCAAGGCAAGUCUGAUGUGAAAGGUGGGGGCUUAACUCCCAAACUGCAUUGGAAACUGUCUGGCUUGAGUGCCGGAGAGGUAAGCGGAAUUCCUAGUGUAGCGGUGAAAUGCGUAGAUAUUAGGAGGAACACCAGUGGCGAAGGCGGCUUACUGGACGGUAACUGACGUUGAGGCUCGAAAGCGUGGGGAGCAAACAGGAUUAGAUACCCUGGUA